UCCGGUGGCAAUGUCGCGGAGGCCACACCCGAUCCCAUCUCGAACUCGGAAGUUAAGCUCCGCAGAGCCGAUGGUACUGCAAGGUUUUCCUUGUGGGAGAGUAGGACGCUGCCGGGU
RNAcentral lists this ribosomal RNA (117 nucleotides) under Myxococcales bacterium. The record is from RNAcentral. Lineage: Bacteria; Pseudomonadati; Myxococcota; Myxococcia; Myxococcales. RNAcentral also lists the same sequence under 1 other name.